CCGAGAUCGCGCCACUGCAUUCCAGCCUGGGCGACAGAGCGAGACUCCAUCUCAAAAAAAAAAACAAACAAAAAAAAACAGUUAAAUUCGGCAUUUUUGCAGCACCAUUUCUUUGACGUGUCUUUUUUAAAGGACCCGGAGCCGGAAGUGCUUACCUUUUCCCUGCCAGGACCCAGAGGUUACCUCCCAUCAGCACCGGCGCUCUCUUGUCCACUGUCUCUUUCUCGGCGCUUCUUUUUCUGGCUCGAAGGCAUCAUGGCCGCCCUCAGACCCCUUGUGAAGCCCAAGAUCGUCAAAAAAAGAACCAAGAAGUUCAUCCGGCACCAGUCAGACCGAUAUGUCAAAAUUAAGACAGGAAAACUCAGAGGUGCUGAGAGCCGUGUCUGCAGCUGUGCUCGCCAUCUCAGUAUCUACACAGUCCCCUCGCAUCCCAUUGGUGUCUCCAUUUCUUGGGAGUGAGAAUGGCAGGGGUGCCUGCAUUCCUAAUGGCUAAAGCCAAGAGCUCCUGGUUUUUCCCACCAAAAAAGCAUGUAAGGAAAUAGUGAAGUCCUGUUACCAAAGGCAACUACUGUGUGGCA
RNAcentral lists this long non-coding RNA (578 nucleotides) under Theropithecus gelada (gelada). RNAcentral's name for it is "lncRNA (ENSTGEG00000011894.1)". Lineage: Eukaryota; Metazoa; Chordata; Mammalia; Primates; Cercopithecidae. The record is from RNAcentral.